RNAcentral lists this ribosomal RNA (489 nucleotides) under uncultured bacterium. RNAcentral describes it as "partial 16S ribosomal RNA". It matches the Rfam family "Bacterial small subunit ribosomal RNA", at positions 28 to 507 of the family's 1533-position model. The record is from RNAcentral.
GACGAACGCUGGCGGCGUGCUUAACACAUGCAAGUCGAACGGUGAAGGGACCAGCUUGCUGGUUCUGGAUGAGUGGCGAACGGGUGAGUAACACGUGAGUAACCUGCCCCCUUCUUCUGGAUAACCGCAUGAAAGUGUGGCUAAUACGGGAUAUUCUGGGUCUGUCGCAUGGCGGGCCCGGGAAAGAUAUUGCUUCGGUGGGGGAUGGGCUCGCGGCCUAUCAGCUUGUUGGUGGGGUGAUGGCCUACCAAGGCGGUGACGGGUAGCCGGCCUGGGAGGGUGGACGGUCACACUGGGACUGAGACACGGCCCAGACUCCUACGGGAGGCAGCAGUGGGGAAUAUUGCACAAUGGGCGCAAGCCUGAUGCAGCGACGCCGCGUGAGGGAUGGAGGCCUUCGGGUUGUAAACCUCUUUCGCCAGUGAAGCAGGCCUGCUCCUUGUGGGUGGGUUGACGGUAGCUGGAUAAGAAGCGCCGGCUAACUACGUG